RNAcentral lists this ribosomal RNA (116 nucleotides) under Pteropus alecto (black flying fox). Lineage: Eukaryota; Metazoa; Chordata; Mammalia; Chiroptera; Pteropodidae. The record is from RNAcentral.
GUCUAUGGCCAUGCCACCCUGAACAAGCCCGAUGUCUGAUCUCGGAAGCUAAGUAGUGUCGGGCUUGGUUAGUACUUGGGUGGGAGACCACCUAAGAAGACCAGGUGCUGUAGACA